Acanthopagrus latus (yellowfin seabream) is the source of this 446-nucleotide long non-coding RNA. RefSeq lists it as uncharacterized. The record is from RefSeq and is a predicted model, not a curated record. The transcript has 3 exons. Lineage: Eukaryota; Metazoa; Chordata; Actinopteri; Spariformes; Sparidae.
CAUGAAAUAUGUUUGAAAAAAAAAAGAUGCAGCUCAUGCAGGGACAGAUCUGAAUGUAGACAAUCAUUUGUCAAUAAUUGCUUGGAAAAGUCCCCAUAUCACCUGAAUGCCCUAUAACAGAGCUACAGCACAUUCCCUCCCAUCAGUUUUCAGUCUGGACUGAACAAGACGACACAGUCCUCAGUGAGCUACACCAACAGUAAAAGGAAGACAUCGGAGGACACAACCACAUGUGAAGACACCGGGCCAAAGAAGAAGGGGAAGAUGAAGAAGAAGAAUUGCUUCCGAUGCAUUGUCUCUUGGUUGAGGCUGCUGUGUUUCCCGCAUUGAUUAGGGAUGUGUGAAGCUGUGUAGGGUUUCUUUGCAUGUUUUCCUGGGCUUCUGGGAAAUUGUGCAAUCAAAACCUUCACAGAUCUUCCGAGGGCAGCAUGGUGGCUUAGUGGUCA